This 253-nucleotide ribosomal RNA is filed under the name uncultured bacterium. RNAcentral describes it as "partial 16S ribosomal RNA". It matches the Rfam family "Bacterial small subunit ribosomal RNA", at positions 524 to 776 of the family's 1533-position model. The record is from RNAcentral.
UACAGAGGUGGCAAGCGUUGUUCGGAAUUACUGGGCGUAAAGGGCGCGUAGGCGGCCUUGUAAGUCCUGUGUGGAAUCCCCCGGCUCAACUGGGGAACUGCACAGGAGACUGCUUGGCUUGAGUUCGGGAGAGGGAAGCGGAAUUCCGGGUGUAGCGGUGAAAUGCGUAGAUAUCCGGAGGAACACCGGUGGCGAAGGCGGCUUCCUGGACCGACACUGACGCUGAGGCGCGAAAGCCAGGGGAGCAAACGGG